UACGUAGGGGGCGAGCGUUGUCCGGAUUUACUGGGCGUAAAGGGCAUGCAGGCGGCCCGAUCAGUCCGUCGUGAAAGCUCCCGGCUUAACUGGGGAGGGUCGGCGGAGACGGUCUGGGCUUGGAGGGCGGUAGAGGAGCAGGGAAUUCCCGGUGUAGUGGUGAAAUGCGUAGAGAUCGGGAGGAACACCAGUGGCGAAGGCGCUGCUCUGGGCCGACCCUGACGCUGAGGUGCGAAAGCGUGGGGAGCGAACCGG
RNAcentral lists this ribosomal RNA (255 nucleotides) under uncultured bacterium. RNAcentral describes it as "partial 16S ribosomal RNA". It matches the Rfam family "Bacterial small subunit ribosomal RNA", at positions 524 to 776 of the family's 1533-position model. The record is from RNAcentral.